This is a long non-coding RNA of Strigops habroptila (Kakapo), 1312 nucleotides long. RefSeq lists it as uncharacterized. The record is from RefSeq and is a predicted model, not a curated record. The transcript has 2 exons. Lineage: Eukaryota; Metazoa; Chordata; Aves; Psittaciformes; Psittacidae.
AGAGGAUUUAACUUGAAAGGUCAAAUGAGAGCACCAAGAAUAAUGAUAGUCUUCAAAAAAAGUAAAUACUAGUUUGUCCUCAUACUUCUAGGUUUUGGAUAAUUUGAGAUAAUCAGAUUUGCUGUCCAUGUAUUUACUGGUACUAUAACUGAAUUUGUACUCAUUUUAUACCAACCUAUGAAAGACUAGAUCAUGCUCAGCAUUUUAUCUGACUACCCACAGUUAGCAAAGCAAACAAUGCAAGAUAAGUACAAUUAUUGAUAACACUUAAAAUAAUUCCAUUCCUCUUCAUAGCCCAUUGCAUACUUGAAAUUUGGCUUUACUGUCUGCAUAGUGUUGCCUGUCCAAGUGUUUGGAAACCGAAGAAUACUGUUAUGAUAUUUGCUGGGAUUUAAAACAAACAAACAACCUACAAACAUUCUCUGUCUUUGUUAAAGUAAUGCUUGAUCUGUGGCAUUUUUUAAAAUGCAAAGGUCUGUCUUCAUUCAUAACAUUCUGGAAUUAGGAGACUGUAACAUGUUUGCUAUAUUGCUUACGUGAUUAAUUUCCACUGGUUUAAUAACUUGAAUCAUGUCUCUAGUGGGAAUUUACCUAGUUUUGACAUUCAGCCAGUAUUUUUCACUGGGUGGGAAAAUAACCAAGCUAGCCACUAUGAUAUGAAAUAUCAAUCUAGCCUAUACAGAGACCAGCAGUAGAAGCACAAGACCUAGAAAUCCAGCUUGGAUAUCUUUGAAUAUCCUCCAGCUGCCUUCCUUCAACUUCUAAAGUACAGCAUGAGCCAGCAGUUGCAUUCAGGCUGUCAUGUUGAACAGGUAUCAGUGAAUAUAUUUGUAAUUUAUUUUUAUUUUUCAAGCUAAUUCAUAUGUCCCCAUCAUAUCCCACUCUCACAUCCAAUUUUACCCUACUGAAUAAUUUUGUAUUGGCAGCCAACUGUUUAUUCCAGAAUGACUUCCUCAUUUAUGAAUAUAUCAAAGAGUACAUUCUUGUGGAGUGUACUUUUCCCUUCUUGCUAUUGUGGAAAUGAUUAACUGCUAUCUGUUCUCUGGUCUUCUAAAUUCUGAGUAAUCUGAGAGGAUUUUCUCCGUGACACCUUAAUUUUGUGUUUGGUUGUGGGUAGUUUCUUUGGUGUAGUGUUUUUGGGGGUUUUAUUUAGGGGGGUUUUCAGAUGGAAGUGACUUUUCUACAAAAGCUGAAGUAAUUUUUCCUGGUGUACCCAUACAUCCUGUUAGUUUUGAUUUAGUUAUCGUUUCAACUUGGUCACUGUGGAGGUAAAUCCUGCUGGUAGUUUCUGGGUAUUCCUAAGACCUCUGUU